This is a long non-coding RNA of Mastomys coucha (southern multimammate mouse), 439 nucleotides long. RefSeq lists it as uncharacterized. NCBI's taxonomy places the organism in Eukaryota, Metazoa, Chordata, Mammalia, Rodentia, Muridae. The record is from RefSeq and is a predicted model, not a curated record. The transcript is spliced from 3 exons.
UGUGGCUUGGGUCUAGAAUAUCCCUAAGGACCAACCACACAUUGAAGGCUUGGUCCCUCGCUGGUGGUAUUGGGAGACAGUGGAAGGUUUAGGAGCUUCCUGGUUGCCAUAAAGUGAGCAGCCUCUGCCAUGCCAUUCUGUCAUGAUGUGUUGUCUCAUCACAAGCACAGUUACAUGGUCACCAUGCUACCGACUGGAGCCUCUGAAACUGCGAGCCACAGUGGAUCCUGCAUCACUCAAGUAACUUAUCUUGGACAUCUCAUCACAUCGUUGAUGAACUUUUGGACAGAUGGCUAUCAGAGCUCUUCUUUCAAGGAGCCAAUCUCACAGCCUCCCAACCACCUCUGUGCCUUGUUGUCACUCGUAGUUUCCAUGCAUUAAAGCUGUGUUCGUCCAGGUGACCCUAUCUAAUAAAGGCCAUCAAUUCAUUAGGUGAUCA